Molecule: long non-coding RNA, 1185 nt
Filed under: Fukomys damarensis (Damara mole-rat)
Lineage: Eukaryota; Metazoa; Chordata; Mammalia; Rodentia; Bathyergidae
Description: lncRNA (ENSFDAG00000033122.1)
Source: RNAcentral
GUCUUGAUUGAAGUGGUCUAUUAAGAAAAUAAACUUUGGCCAGGGCAACCCCAGAACAGAGCUCCGCCCCUGCCUGCAGGGAGGAGGCUGGGAGGGAGCUGGGGUGGCCCUGAGAGGCUGCUUCCUGCCGCUAGGUCACCACACCACGGCUUCCUCUCUCCUCUCCUCACUAAAAACCCUUCAGAAUGAGCUCUUUGCCUUCUUAUCUGUGGCCCUCUCGGUUUACACUUGGGCUUUGCAUUUUUCAACUUACUCGACGCCUCUGGAAAACCGCCUCCCUGGGUACGGUGCUCUGCAGAAACCGCUCACUUGUUAUUAAAACUCGCCUUCUCCACCCACAGCUCAGAUGAGAGGGGAGAAACUCGCGGAGGAUCCUGGGGUCCUGGCCCCGCAGUCCGGAGCAGCCCCUGGCUGGCCCAGGUAAGCGUUGCGGAAGAGCUCUCAGCAAACGGCUCAGCGGUGUCCUCCCAUCCGAGCAGUGGGCCAGCCUCAAGCCACUCUGGAUGGCGCGCGGGAGGAUUAGGUAAAGCCCUGCAGGAGAGGACCGUUGUGCAGAUGUGCGGGGUCACUGGGUGCCAGCGGCGGGGGCGCUGGGCCUCUUCCGACCCUCGGCGCACAGAUGCGCUCUCUGCGGGCUCAGGGCUCCGCCGGCUCGUCUUUCACUCCGCAGACGCACUCAUGAAAAGACCUGUGUGUGAAGUCACCCUCAAAAAAGAGCUCCCUGUGCCAACGCCUCUUCCCCCUCAGAGGAAGCACCUGCUUCUUGCAGAAAUGGCCGGGCUCAGAUCCACUGAGGAAACGCACCAGAUAACCCGGAGACCAGCGCAAAGUGAACGCUCCUGGGGCAGCAUCAGAGGACUCAGCAGCCCUCCUGCACGGACUCCCACCACCCAAAGACAAGGCCGUCCAACUCUGUCCCUGGGGGAAACACAGCAAUCCCCUAAAGCCCAUGGCUUUAAACUGUUAUUUUUAAAAUAUUGCUAACAUCUGCAGGGUGCAAUGAAACUAACUCAUUUCAAAAACUAAUUUUAAAAACCAGAAAAUACACGGGGAAAAAAUCCCAAGUCACUAACGAAUUCUAUCUCAAAGCAAAGGAAUGGAAGCAGGGAAGGAAGGAAGGAAGAGGGAGGGAAGGAGACAAGACAUUGUUAUAGAAAAGUUAUUAAGGAGGGAAGCUAUUAAAAU